Long non-coding RNA from Oryctolagus cuniculus (rabbit), 7573 nucleotides. RefSeq lists it as uncharacterized. NCBI's taxonomy places the organism in Eukaryota, Metazoa, Chordata, Mammalia, Lagomorpha, Leporidae. The record is from RefSeq and is a predicted model, not a curated record.
CUCCACCGGCACGGAGGGUUCCAGGCCUCGGCCCUCGCUAAGGGGCGGCGCCCAGGCCCCCCUCGCUCUCCCCUCUCCGUUCCUCCCUCUUUCAGCUCUCCCUCCCACCCCUCCCUCCUUCUCCCCUCUCCCACUCCUGGUGACGCCGCCCUCUGUCCCUCUGGGCCUCCUAGUGGCCCCGCCCCUCCCCUUCUAACCCCCACCUGGUCCCUCCCCUCCCACUUGGGGACCCCACUCUCCCUAGCCUCCCCUUAAUUCCCCUCCCGCUCCUGGGGACCUCGCGCCACUGUCCUCGUCCCUCCUCCCCUCCCACCAUCCCCAUCCCCGAGGCAGACCCCUUCUGGGGACCCCCCCACUCCCCUCAACGCCCCCUUCCCACUCCUGGGGACCCCACCCUGUGCCCACCCCCGCCCCCUGCAGCCCCUCGCACCGCACGUCACCGCUCGUCCCACCUCCGGCCCAGCCAAUCGGUCGUCUGCUCAGCUCCUGGCCCGCUUCCCUCGGGAAACGCGUGGCCGGAGACGCACCGUCGAGUCCCGGGUAGGGAGUAACCGCACGGGGUGGGGGCCGCUCCGGGUGCAGAGGGGACUAGAGGAUGGGGUGGGAGAGGGCCACACAUCCCUCGUUUAGCAGAUAUGGGCCAGCUCGCAUUAGCCACGUGUUAUAGCACGCUGGGACUCGGACCACGCUUCCUAGAGAUGGCCUCACCCGCUGAGACCGAGCUGGGCGAGGGCAGCGUGGAGGGGCGCGGCGACGCGCCCGAGCUGGGGGCUGCGCCGUGGGUCUCAGAGCCAAACCCGAGCACGCUGAGGCACAAGGGGACGUCUCCCUGUCAGCCCCGGGUGCGGGUGCGUGCACUCCUCUUUUCCAGUGUGGCUGGUUGCGGAGAGGAAAAACAGGAAGGCGGCUUGGACGGAGGCCCAGUUGUGGGAGAGGAUGUUCCGAUGGCGCUGGGGGGCUGGGGGCGCCGUGGCGCCUAGCCUUCUGCGGCGAGAAUUGCAUUCUUCAAAGAAAGCCAAAGAUAGAAAAGCCUUGGGAGCUCUGCUGGAAAGGCACUCGCCUGCGAGGCCACAUUCCCGGGCUCCGAGCCGCAGGCCACCCCCGAACAAAAGGCCCCGAGAAAAGACAGGUUCACCCACGUUGGACUGUGUGUCUGGAUUCCACUCCUUUCUAAACUCGGAAUAGUGUUCCAGGGCUCAAGCCUCCUGACAGUCUUUGGCUCCUGGCAGCUGGGAGAGAAAGAGAAGAGCUACAAGAGUCUGUUUGGGAGGGACACAGAGAAGAGCCGGCUUCCUGCUUGUCCCUUGAGGGCAGUGAACUGAGCAGUGUGGGAGCCGCAGUGUGCCCGGUCCAUUCCCCAAGCAUCACAGGGCAGCUGAGAGCUUCCAGCAGAUAGAAGACCUCUCUCUCUCUGCCUGCACUGGCCAGUGGCUUACCUGACUCAUGUAGUGAGUAUGUUCUGUUUCCAGUGUAACUUCCUAAAAAGCGACAUGAAAGGAGACGUUGAAACUCCAUUAGGGAAAAUGAUCCUUUUCCUUUUAGAGACCAGACUGUGCUGUUAAUAUAGUUGAAUUCAAAGACAGUAAAAGGUAAAAAUUAGCCAGUCCCACCCAAAUGACUACCACCCAAAUUCCAACUGAGAAGACCUACUGGGAUUUGUGCCCAAUAAAAAGCUGCCCAUGCACUGUUCUCAGGCUCACCCAGCCGAUUUUCUUUCUUUUCUUUUCUUUUUUUUUUUUUUUUUAAGAUUUUAUUUAUUUAUUUGAGAGGUGAGUUACUGACAGAGAGAGGGAGAGACGGAGAGAGAAGUCUUCCCUUUGCUGAUUUACUCCCCAAAUGGCUGCAACUGUCGGAGCUGGGCUGAUCUGAAGCCUGGAGCCCCUUCCGGGUCUCCCACAUGGGUGCAGGGGCCCAUCUUCCUCUGCUGACCCUGGCCCUCAGCAGGGAGCUGACCUACCUGAUUUUCUAGCGUGAGAGUGAAUAUGAAGCUCUGACACCACUGUCUGUGCGUUCGGUUCCUGGCUCUGCCCUGGGCGACUGGGAGGCCUUGCCUCAGUGACCUCACUUGGCAAAGCAAGGGCUCGCUUGUUAAAAGAAGCAUCAAUAUAUGGGAUAGACUGAGAAAUAGUGUCCAACUCGUGCCGAGGGCUCAUACACGUGAACUCCUUAUCGUAAUGAAGUGGUGGCUCAUUCCAUGAGGGUCCUGGGUCUCCACUCCAAGCUCUUAAACACAAGGCUUAUGGCUGUCUCUGAGGUCCUCCCUAGAUCUGAAAUUGGGUUCAUGAUGUACUCACAGCAAGUUUGAGCUCAUCACCGUGCCAAGUUCUGUCCUAUAAUUGCCGCCAGGACAUCGUCCUCAUUUAUUCAUAAGACCUACGCAUCCCCAUCAGCCAGAAGACAUUGAACCAGGGAUUUGUUUCAACAAGCAGCAAAGUCAGGGCUGUUGCUCAUUUAAUGACGAAACAAGAGGAGCAUAGGGAUAUGCUAUGGUUUGGACUUGGGUAUGCCCCUAAACCUCCUUUUUUACGCCCACCUAGCAUCGGGUGCUUUGUUACAGCAGCACAAAAGGGACACAGACAGAACAAAACUUUGAACGUCUCUCUGUGUCUCCUUCCAAAGAAUUUAAGUCCUUACCAGGGAUGAAUUCUUGCCACCUAGCUGGGACCAUGGCAGCCAGGCCAUGCAGCUCCUCAGCUCUUGCUGAAUGUGGAACCUGAGGGCUAGUCCCAGGACCCCUGCUCGUCUUAAUCCACAUUCUCUUCUCCAGUGUCUCGUCCCAUGACAUGUGCUGACAUCCCAUCUAUUACAGUGCUCACAGCUCCCAAAUUAACAUGUGCAUCCCCGGCCCCGCCCUUGAACCCCAGGUCUGUACUCAGCUGCCUGCUGGCUCUUCCGCUGGGUGCCCACCAGGCAUUCCAAGUGCCAGAUAGGAAAGGAGCUGUUGCUUUCUACAACCCCUUGCCUGGGCAUCAGUAAAUGACACCGGUGUGCACUCAGGGUUCUCCCCAGAAAGCAGGGAGUCAUCAACUCCCCCAGGCUGUCUUGUUGGCUCCAUCUCCAGAAUUUAUCCCAGAUGACUGUACUCCACCUCCGUCCUUGCCCCCACUCCGAUGCAAGCCAGGCCUAUUACAACAAACUCCUCACCCAUUCUCUGCUUCUACUCUUUCCAGUAAGGGAUGCAUUCUUCCCGUGGCAGCCAGGAUGAUGGCUUGAGGACCUAGUCCAUUCCCUCCCACGCUAGAAGCUCAGUGAUGAGACCCCUUACUCUCAGAAUAGACACGAAAAUCCUCAGGAUGGCCAACCUGGUGUUACCUUACUCCUGUUCCUCCAUCUUGUCUUUUUUUUUUUUUUUUAAUGUUUAUUUGCAGUGACUUGAAAGGCAGAGUGACAGAAAGAGAGAGAGGAGAUAUCUUCAUCUACUGGUUUACUCCCUAAAUGCCCACAACAGCCAGGGCUCGGUCCGAUCAAAGCCAGGAGCCCAGAACUCCAUCGGGGUCUCCACUUUGGUGGCAGCAGCCCAAGCAUUUGAGCCAUCAUCUGUUGCCUCCCUGAAACAGGGGUGCUGGGGCUGGAAGCAGGCACUGCAGGAGGGGAGGAGGCAUUCCUGGUCCUCAGUCAAGUAGGGGACUAAGGGGCCUGGCAGAUGUGACUCAGGUAAAGACUCUGAGAUGGGGCGCAGUCCUCAGUUAUCCGGGAGGACCCUGUUCACUGCAAGUGCUUCUCUCUCUAAGCCAGAGGUAGAGGGAGGCGGACACACACGGAGAAUGUGUGCAGACGGAGGCAAAGGCAGGGGUGAUGCAACCACAAGCCAGGGCCUCCUGGAGCCACCAGAAGCUGGAAGAGUCAAGGAAAGCACCAUCCCUAGGGCCUCUGGAGAGAGCACAGCCCUGCUUACACUUGGAUUUCAGACUUCAAGCCUCCCAAACUGUGAGGAAGUCAAGUUCCUGUUGUCUUAAGUCUGUAAGCUUGUGACGGUAUGUUCGGCAGCCACAGGAAGCUAACACACACCCAUAAGCCAGGCUUGUUGCUGCCUCAGGGCCUUUGCACUGCAUUCCUUGUCAGUCUCACACCUCUGCAUAGCUGUCUUCAGAUGCCAGUAUAAGUUUAGGCCUUCUCCCCUCACGGAGACGUUCUCGGGUCCCAUGACAUCUCCUGCAAGGCCCUUAUCCCUCUACGACAUCCCCCUAUAAAUGUUCUCCAUUCCACAUAUCACUGAUAUUUUCUUACAAAUUCUCUUAUUGCUGUUAUCACUGGUAUCUUACCAUCAACAAACAAAUUAGACAUAAAUACAGCAAGGGGUAGAAUGCCUUCGCCUUUUUCCAUACGUGUCUGCGCCUGCUCUAGUCCACGUGCGCAGGGGGUUUUUCGUCUUGUUCAAGGCUGGACCCCCAGUGUCUGGGGCACUGCUGUGCGAGUUCUCAUUGUUCUGCCAAAGCAGAAUUCUACUGACACAGGGGCUUCAGCAACAAAAAUUUACCCUCACGGCCCUAGAGGCAGGGAGCGCCCAUGGAAGCCCCCGGUGGAUUCUGUUCCUUCUCAGGCCGCCCCUUGUGGCUUUCUAAGGGGCUCCUUCCUGCUGUGAGCUCACGUCGCCUUUACUCUGUGCUGCUGCUCCCCUGGUGUCUCUGCAGCGCCGGCAUCCCAUAUGGGCACCGGUUCGAGUCCCGGCUGCUCCUCUUCCGAUCCAGCUCUCUGCUGUGGCCUGGGAAAGCAGUGGAAGCUGGCCCAAAUGCUUGGGCCUCUGCACCCAUGUGGCAGACUGGGAAGCUUCUGGCUUUGGAUCAGCCCAGUUUCAUUUUGGCCAUUUGGGGAGUGAACCUAAUCUCAUCUUUUAAGGGCACCGUUCAGAGUGGGCUAGGUCACACUGAUGGCCUUGGUCACACUGAUGGCCUUGGUCACACUGAUGGCCUUAUGUGAACAUGAGCCCCUUUUUAAAGACCUAACUCCUGUUUUAAUCACACCCCGAAGGACUGGAGGCAGGACUGCGGCAGGACUUCCGGCAACUGCCCAACACAGUGGCAACCAAGACGCUGUUGUGUGAAUGGUGGAUCUAUGGGUGUGACAAUAGAAUGACAUCCUGGAAAACCAAAAAAGAAAACUCCAGUGGGCAGCAAACGAAAUUGUGUUGCACCUCACUAGAAUUAAAAAACAAAACCAAACCAAGAAUCCGACAGUGAGGUGCCAUCAUGCGCCUGAGAAAUGGCCAGGGUCGCAGGGAAGGGACAGCAGCCACCUGGGGGAGUGCACACAUGUGGAAGCUUUCGUUUCUUUUUCUUCUUUCUUUUCUUUUCUUUUUAAGAUGUAUUUAUUUACUUCAAAGGCAGAAUGACAGAGACAGAUCUUCCAUCUGCUGGUUCACUCCUCAAACAUUCACAACAGCCAGGGCUGGGCCAGGCAAAAGCCAGGAGCCUGGAACUCCAGCUGGGUCUCCCACAGGAUGGCAGAGGCCCAAGGACAUGGGACAUCUUUGCUGCUUUCCCAGGCUGUAAGCAGGGAGCUGGAUCAGAAGAGGAGCAGUCGGGAUUCGAACCGGCACCCAUUUGGAAUGCCAGUGUUACAGAUGCUGCUUAACUCACUACACCACAGUGCUGCCCCUAAGCUUUUUCAUUUCAUUUCAUUUUCAGUCCUUGGAACACACCUUCUCCAAGGCACCUUAGCAUGGUGUUCUUUUCAAAGUACAGUGUUCCGCUGGUGGGCAGGUGGCCUUCGAGAAGUGACUUGAAAGCUAAUUGUUAGUCAAGUGCGGAGGGAGAGGGGAGUGAAUGGGGCAGAAAGAACAGUCUGUAUGAAGGGUGCACCGUGCCUGCAAAAGAGCAGGCGGGGAGGCCCCCGGCCAAGCUGCCCAUCAGACCAAGCGUGAACGUACUCCGUCCUAGGCCCCGACCAUUCUACCAUCUACCACACCUAGUGCAUCACCCCGCGUUCAUUUUCAUGACCUAAAAUGAUCAGUAUUUACACAAGUUGUUCUUGUCCCCACUCAACAGGAGCAGGAGUUUGACCUCCACACUAGUGGCAGUCAUAAGCCAUCGGAGGAACUGAAGCAGGAAGAAGUAUGGCCAGAUUUGCAUGUUGGAAACAUGGCCCAGGCUGCCAUGGGCAGACUCCCAGGAGGGGUAGCAAAGUGGAGGCAGCGAGGUCCAUGGGGAGGCCAUUGUAUCCCCAGGCCAGGCCAUAGUGGCCAAGCCAGGGGCCAAGGGAAGCACAUGGAACAUGGAGAAGCAUGGGAGUCCGCGCCAACACACCUGGGGUACGUUAGACCUGGGGGAGAGGGGAGCAGGAAGUGGGGUGACAUCCAGCUUGGGGCUAGAGCACUUGGAUGGUGGUGCUAUGUCCCCAGGAGAAAAGGAACCGGAGAAGGAGUCUGGGGACAAGAAGGUGAGUUCAAGGCCGGCACCGCGGCUCACUAGGCUAAUCCUCCGCCUUGCAGCGCCGGCACACUGGUUCUAGUCCCAGUCGGGGCGCUGGAUUCUGUCCCGGUUGCCCUUCUUCCAGGCCAGCUCUCUGCUGUGGCCAGGGAGGGCAGUGGAGGAUGGCCCAAGUGCUUGGGCCCUGCACCACAUGGGAGACCAGGAGAAGCACCUGGCUCCUGGCUUCGGAUCAGCACGGUGCACCGGCCAUUGGAGGGUGAACCAACAGCAAAGGAAGACCUUUCUCUCUCUCACUGUCCACUCUGCCUGUCAAAAAAAAAAAAAAAAAAAAAAAAAAAGAAGAAGAAGAAGGUGAGUUCCAUCUUAGAAGUGCUGAGUGUGAAGUCCUGAGACAGCCUCACAGAGAAGUCUCCAGUGCCUGUAGAUACACUGUAGAAGGUCCUUUCUAAAAACCAGAGGCCAAAGCCAACAGUUGAGAUGAGAUUGCCCAAGAAGCGUGUUAGGCCACCCAGGACCUGUCCAUCCAACGCCAACCUCAUAGCUGCGGUCACUCAGCCCACAGCCACAGAAAUCGGCAGAGAUCAUGUGGCCACCUAAAUGUGGGCAGUCUUCCGUGUUUCGGGGUGUUCCAGCACCGUGGGAGCUGGGCACGGUCCCUGGGUAGGACUGAUGCUGAGGGAAAGGCUAGCUCAAAGAUCUAAGAUCCCAAAAGUAAAGAAAGCGUCUUCUGUGGCUGGCCUUCCCCACUUGGUCUUCUUCUCUUUCCAACACUGGCACCACCUGCACUCCACUGGAAGGGGAACAAUGUCUUUCUCUUAGUCAGAUGUGUGGACAAACAAUUUCCCAGAGGCUGAUGCUGUGUCGUAGUAGGCUAAACCUCCACCUGUGGCACCGGCAUCUCAUAUGGGAGCCGGUUCAUGUCCUGGCUGCUCCUCUUCUGAUCCAGCUCUCUGCUAUGGUCUGGAAAAGCAGUGGAAGAUGGCCCAAGUCCUUGGGCUCCUGAACCCACAUGGGAGACCCGGAAGAAGAUCCUGGCUCCUGGCUUCAGAUUGGCCCAGCUCUGUUUUGGCCAUUUGGGGAGUGGACCAGCAGAUGGAAGACCUUUCUCUGUCUCUCUGUUGUAAUUCUGCCUCUCAAAUAAAUAAAUAAAAUAUUAAAAAAAAUUUUUUCCCCAGUUCACCACUUUUGACUUCGUUCAGAGUAUU